RNAcentral lists this microRNA precursor (84 nucleotides) under Bombyx mori (domestic silkworm). RNAcentral's name for it is "mir-2807 microRNA precursor family". It matches the Rfam family "mir-2807 microRNA precursor family". The record is from Rfam by way of RNAcentral. Lineage: Eukaryota; Metazoa; Arthropoda; Insecta; Lepidoptera; Bombycidae.
UUAGCUCAUAUUUGUAUGGAAUAGGAUCGUUUGCCUGCGUUUGCCACUAGGGGCGCUGUUCCAACUGCAUACAAAAUUGGGCUA